UAUUAGGUUGGUGCAGAUGUGAUUGCGGUUUUUGCCAUUGAAAGUAAUGACAAAAACCACAAUCAUAUCUGCACCAACCUAAUA
MicroRNA precursor from Pan troglodytes (chimpanzee), 84 nucleotides. It matches the Rfam family "mir-548 microRNA precursor family". The record is from Rfam. Lineage: Eukaryota; Metazoa; Chordata; Mammalia; Primates; Hominidae.